CCUGCCGUAUGCAGGGGGAUAACAGUUAGAAAUGACUGCUAAUACCGCAUAAGCGCACAGUAUCGCAUGAUACAGUGUGAAAAACGAUAGUGGCAUACGAUGGACCCGCGUCUGAUUAGCUAGUUGGCGGGGUAACGGCCCACCAAGGCGACGAUCAGUAGCCGGCCUGAGAGGGUGAACGGCCACAUUGGAACUGAGACACGGUCCAAACUCCUACGGGAGGCAGCAGUGGGGGAUAUUGCACAAUGGGGGAAACCCUGAUGCAGCGACGCCGCGUGAGUGAAGAAGUAUUUCGGUAUGUAAAGCUCUAUCAGCAGGAAAGAUAAUGACGGUACCUGACUAAGAAGCACCGGCUAAAUACGUGCCAGCAGCCGCGGUAAUACGUAUGGUGCAAGCGUUAUCCGGAUUUACUGGGUGUAAAGGGAGCGCAAACGGCAUGGCAAGCCAGAUGUGAAAGGUGGGGGCUCAAACCCCAAGCUGCAUUUGGAACUGUCAAGCUAAAGUAUCGGAGAGGUAAGUGGAAUUCCUAGUGUAUCGGUGAAAUGCGUAAAUAUUAGGAGGAACACCAGUGGCGAAGGCGGCUUACUG
Molecule: ribosomal RNA, 588 nt
Filed under: uncultured bacterium
Lineage: Bacteria
Description: bacterial SSU rRNA
Rfam family: Bacterial small subunit ribosomal RNA
Source: RNAcentral